This is a long non-coding RNA of Oncorhynchus keta (chum salmon), 357 nucleotides long. RefSeq lists it as uncharacterized. The record is from RefSeq and is a predicted model, not a curated record. The transcript is spliced from 3 exons. NCBI's taxonomy places the organism in Eukaryota, Metazoa, Chordata, Actinopteri, Salmoniformes, Salmonidae.
UCUUCUAACCAGGGACCACUAGAGGUAUAGGAACACACAGUCUUCUAACCAGGGACCACUAGAGGUAUAGGAACACACAGUCUUCUAACCAGGGACCACUAGAGGUAUAGGAACACACAGUCUUCUAACCAGGGACCACUAGAGGUAUAGGAACACACAGUCUUCUAACCAGGGACCACUAGAGGUAUAGGAACACACAGUCUUCUAACCAGGGACCACUAGAGGUAUAGGAACACACAGUCUUCUAACCAGGGACCACUAGAGGUAUAGGAACACACAGUCUUCUAACCAGGGACCACUAGAGGUAUAGGAACACACAGUCUUCUAACCAGGGACCACUAGAGGUAUAGGAACACA